UACGUAGGUGGCGAGCGUUGUCCGGAUUUACUGGGCGUAAAGAGCGCGCAGGCGGUCGUGUAAGUCGAAUGUGAAAGCCCCCGGCUUAACUGGGGAGGGUCAUUCGAUACUGCUCGACUUGAAGGCAGGAGAGGGAAGUGGAAUUCCCGGUGUAGUGGUGAAAUGCGCAGAUAUCAGGAGGAACACCGGUGGCGAAGGCGGGUCUCUGGGCCGAUAUUGACGCUGAGGAGCGAAAGCGUGGGGAGCGAACAGG
This 253-nucleotide ribosomal RNA is filed under the name uncultured bacterium. Its description in RNAcentral is "partial 16S ribosomal RNA". It matches the Rfam family "Bacterial small subunit ribosomal RNA", at positions 524 to 776 of the family's 1533-position model. The record is from RNAcentral.